GCUGGGUGUGGUGGCGCACACCUGUAAUCCCAGAGGCUUGGGAGGCUGACACCAGAGAAUCACAAGUUCAAAGCUAGCCUCAGCAAAAGCAAGGCACUAAGCAACUAAGUGAGACCCUGUCUU
This 123-nucleotide small RNA is filed under the name Marmota monax (woodchuck). Lineage: Eukaryota; Metazoa; Chordata; Mammalia; Rodentia; Sciuridae. The record is from RNAcentral.